UGAGGAACAUGACCUUCGGCGGGGGAUAGCCGGCCCAACGGCCGGGUAAUACCGCGUACGACCACAUGGGGACAUCCCUGGAUGGUGAAAGCAGCAAUGCGCCGAUGGAGUGCCUCGCGGCCUAUCAGCUAGUUGGUGAGGUAACGCUCACCAAGGCAACGACGGGUAGCUGGUCUGAGAGGAUGGCCAGCCACAGUUGGGACUGAGACACGGCCCAGACCUGUAACCGGGGAGG
Molecule: ribosomal RNA, 235 nt
Filed under: uncultured bacterium
Lineage: Bacteria
Description: partial 16S ribosomal RNA
Rfam family: Bacterial small subunit ribosomal RNA
Source: RNAcentral